GCCUAUAGCGAAAAUUCCUUUCAUUGCUUAUAUUUCUAAUCUAUAUUCUACAACUUGUAGUUAUCACCAGCUUCAAUGAUAAUGUCUUGACAAAUAAAAUUUGCCUUUUCUAAAAUAAAAUAAUAAAUUCAUACUUUAUUUUGCCUCUGAACGAAGAUGAUAAGCCAUAAACUGACAUUUUUGUUCUAUUUUCUACCUUCAACUUUUUAAUGGGUUGUUUUUUGCUUUUUGUUUUUUGUUAUUGAUUUUGUUUGUUUUUGUUUUUGUUUUUGUUUUUGUUUUUUUUUGUUUGUUUUUUUUUUUUUCUUUCAUUUUUUUUUUUUUUUUUUUUUUUCUCACAGGAUCAAGCUUUAGUUACCGAUACACUUAACGAUACACUUAACGAUGAAAUCCUUGUAUACCAUGAGACUCAACAACUAUACAAAUUAUGUCAGG
Molecule: long non-coding RNA, 435 nt
Filed under: Mytilus galloprovincialis (Mediterranean mussel)
Lineage: Eukaryota; Metazoa; Mollusca; Bivalvia; Mytilida; Mytilidae
Source: RNAcentral